GCAACAAUUUUUAUUGUUUUUUUUUUCAAUUUUUAAUUUUUUAUUAACAUCUGUCACCAAUUAAAUUCCCUGUCAAAAGGUCAUGGUUGAAUUUAUCCAUAAUUUGACCAUUUUACGGUAAAAAAACGGGCGGGUUACCGAUUUUUUUACCUCUUCCUCAUUUUAUUAGGUUAUUAUGAGUUGGAAUGUAAUAUGAGCUGUUAAAGAAAUCAUGAGGAAAAACAUGUGCGAAUUAGCCACCAGCGAACCGACGCUCAAGUUAGAUUCAAACAGAUAUUCUGAUAAUCCUCACGCGGAAGGUGGAUCUCCGCAACCUGAGCCAGAAUCUUGCGAGAGUUUUUUACGUCCCUCCCCGGACGUAACUCCUUCAGUUGUAACUGAAGAUGUCGUUCAAAAGAGAUUAUUUGGACAUGCUUUUAUACAAAGUCUACGUGUAAUUUUUACGAGUUUUAGAGUUUGUUUUUGAAGUUGUCACAAAUAAAUGGGUUUGGAACGUCUUAUUAAUUACUCUUUAUGUGCUUUUUGAUGUUUUCUUUCAUUUGGUGUUAGCCGCGUCGGCUAUCAUGGUGACUAUUAUCAUAAAUAUGGACAAUGUUUAUAGGAAGGGUGAUGAUGAUGAUGAGGAUGAGGGUGAUUCUAAUACUACCAGCUUUACAGACGUGAAUGGGAUGUAUGAAAAUGAAACUAAAUCUUGUAAAAAGAAAAAAUAACACAAUUGGGAGAUCUUUUGUAUAGGUUUUAUUUAUUUAUUAAUAUGCAAUGUAAUUUGUGAGAUGGAGAAUUAAUAAAGAUGUCAAAAUUAAAAAUAAAA
Onthophagus taurus is the source of this 811-nucleotide non-coding RNA. The record is from RefSeq and is a predicted model, not a curated record. Lineage: Eukaryota; Metazoa; Arthropoda; Insecta; Coleoptera; Scarabaeidae.